Molecule: ribosomal RNA, 521 nt
Filed under: uncultured bacterium
Lineage: Bacteria
Description: bacterial SSU rRNA
Rfam family: Archaeal small subunit ribosomal RNA
Source: RNAcentral
AACCUCCGCAAUGUGAGAAAUCGCGACGGGGGGAUCCCAAGUGCCAUUCUUAACGGGAUGGCUUUUCAUUAGUGUAAGGAGCUUUUGGAAUAAGGGCUGGGCAAGACCGGUGCCAGCCGCCGCGGUAACACCGGCAGCUCUAGUGGUAGCAGUUUUUAUUGGGCCUAAAGCGUCCGUAGCCGGUUUAAUAAGUCUCUGGUGAAAUCCUGUAGCUUAACUGUGGGAAUUGCUGGAGAUACUAUUAGACUUGAGACCGGGAGAGGUUAGAGGUACUCCCAGGGUAAAGGUGAAAUUCUGUAAUCCUGGGAGGACCGCCUGUUGCGAAGGCGUCUAACUGGAACGGUUCUGACGGUGAGGGACGAAAGUUAGGGGCGCGAACCGGAUUAGAUACCCGGGUAGUCCUAACCGUAAACGAUGCGGACUUGGUGUUGGGGUGGCUUUGAGCUGCUCCAGUGCCGAAGGGAAGCUGUUAAGUCCGCCGCCUGGGAAGUACGGUCGCAAGACUGAAACUUAAAGGAAUU